GUUUACUACAUUUAACAAGGUUCUGGUUUGCUCUCUGAUGGUAGUUAGAUGUGAACUAUAAUGAUAGGGGUGAAAUGACUUGUUUGUUACACCAAAUGGACAUUGUGGAAGGUUCUGAUUGGCUCAUUGGUGGUUGAUAGAUAGAAUGAUGAGGGUAAAUCCCAGUGAGUAAAGUCUCCACAGAAACCAUACAGGCUCUCAACGCGGGAACAUAUACAUGUUUCCUAACAGCAUGGUAGAUUGGCUAACAUGCAACUCCUUUAGGUGACUUUUCCUAUGGGAUCUGUUUUUUGUUCUAAUGAUUGAACAAUUCAGGUUAAUUCACUAAGAUGUGAAACCUUGACCAUCCAUGUACAUGUACUUCAUUGAAAAGAUUUGUUCUGUCAUGUAUAGGAACAGAUGGAGAGAAGAUAGAUGUACUUUCAGGGGGAUUAUGUCAAUUGCAAAGGAAAUGGGGGCAAAAAAAAAGGAAAGAGGGAUGGGAUUUUUCGUGUUUUUCGCAUACCGGGCCUUUGCUCGUUCAAAUCUUAGAUUGCAAUAGUUUACCCUUCGAAUCAAAAGAUAUUGAUCUUAUGAUAAAGAUCAGUAUUUACUAAUUAUCAUAAGAUGUCACAGGUUGACAUAAUUGGAUGCGUAGCCACAUGCACGAGGUUAUAUGUACCGGCAUUAUUUUGUAAUGAGUUGCAGAUAGCUUGUUGCAUUAAAUGUCAAUGCAAAUCAGCCAGUGGGGUCCUAUCAGCGAUCAUUAGGCUUUUUUUUCUGAAACUAAUUUGCUAAAACAUCUUACAUGGCCCAGUUGUCAAUGAAAUUGAAAGAAACAGACCUGCAUGCAGCUUCCAGGAAUGCGCAUGUACGGGCAAAAAUAAAACCUUUUGCUGCUAAUUUAUGCUACUGUUUGUUGAAGACUGAAGGUGGCAAAGAGAAUUCUGGUUGAGUCUCCGGGCAACACAAAAUUGAUUGAUGCAUUGAAUAUCCAUCCAAAUUAUGGAACUCUGUUGAUCGCACGCGUGGAGAUUAAGCAUUGGACCACGCUUCCUUCGUACCAAUCAUUUUCGGUUAAAGGUUAGAUGUUCCUUCCUAAAGUUUUUUUGUUUUUUUUUUUUAAUUUCAUGUUUAUUUGUUGAGGUUCGAGGGAAACAAAACCAAUACAAAUUACAAUGAAAAAGAUUAUUAGGAGAUUGGGGAAAAAAAUAAAAAUAAAGAAAUAGUACAGAAAUCAAUUAAAAAUAAAAGUACAUCCUAAAUAAAGUAAACCCAGCGGAAUUUAAACUUGUGCUA
This is a non-coding RNA of Momordica charantia (bitter melon), 1278 nucleotides long. NCBI's taxonomy places the organism in Eukaryota, Viridiplantae, Streptophyta, Magnoliopsida, Cucurbitales, Cucurbitaceae. The record is from RefSeq and is a predicted model, not a curated record.